GAUUGAACGCUGGCGGCAGGCCUAACACAUGCAAGUCGAGCGGUAGCACAGAGAGCUUGCUCUCGGGUGACGAGCGGCGGACGGGUGAGUAAUGUCUGGGAAACUGCCUGAUGGAGGGGGAUAACUACUGGAAACGGUAGCUAAUACCGCAUAAUGUCGCAAGACCAAAGUGGGGGACCUUCGGGCCUCAUGCCAUCAGAUGUGCCCAGAUGGGAUUAGCUAGUAGGUGGGGUAACGGCUCACCUAGGCGACGAUCCCUAGCUGGUCUGAGAGGAUGACCAGCCACACUGGAACUGAGACACGGUCCAGACUCCUACGGGAGGCAGCAGUGGGGAAUAUUGCACAAUGGGCGCAAGCCUGAUGCAGCCAUGCCGCGUGUGUGAAGAAGGCCUUCGGGUUGUAAAGCACUUUCAGCGGGGAGGAAGG
This 426-nucleotide ribosomal RNA is filed under the name Klebsiella pneumoniae. RNAcentral describes it as "bacterial SSU rRNA". It matches the Rfam family "Bacterial small subunit ribosomal RNA", at positions 27 to 451 of the family's 1533-position model. The record is from RNAcentral. Lineage: Bacteria; Pseudomonadati; Pseudomonadota; Gammaproteobacteria; Enterobacterales; Enterobacteriaceae.